Molecule: ribosomal RNA, 497 nt
Filed under: uncultured bacterium
Lineage: Bacteria
Description: partial 16S ribosomal RNA
Rfam family: Bacterial small subunit ribosomal RNA
Source: RNAcentral
GAUGAACGCUGGCGGCGUGCCUAAUACAUGCAAGUCGAGCGAACGGACGAGAAGCUUGCUUCUCUGAUGUUAGCGGCGGACGGGUGAGUAACACGUGGAUAACCUACCUAUAAGACUGGGAUAACUUCGGGAAACCGGAGCUAAUACCGGAUAAUAUUUUGAACCGCAUGGUUCAAAAGUGAAAGACGGUCUUGCUGUCACUUAUAGAUGGAUCCGCGCUGCAUUAGCUAGUUGGUAAGGUAACGGCUUACCAAGGCAACGAUGCAUAGCCGACCUGAGAGGGGGAUCGGCCACACGGGAACUGAGACACGGUCCAGACUCCUACGGGAGGCAGCAGUAGGGAAUCUUCCGCAAUGGGCGAAAGCCUGACGGAGCAACGCCGCGUGAGUGAUGAAGGUCUUCGGAGCGUAAAACUCUGUUAUUAGGGAAGAACAUAUGUGUAAGUAACUGUGCACAUCUUGACGGUACCUAAUCAGAAAGCCACGGCUAACUACGUG